CAUAUUACCGAGCUCCCCAAAUUCUUCUGGACCUAAUUGAUAAAAGACUAACUCAGUCUCUCCUAAUCAAUCAAAUACAAAGGAAAAUCAACCUGAAAUGAUCUAUAUAUGCUCCCUGGCCAGCACAACUUUCGGCCAACCAGUUUCAAGGUUAUAUCGAUCGAGUAUUCGACCAAACCAGCAAAUGUUCGGAGGAAAGAACACAGCACAAUCACUUCUUCAUCCUUUUCCUGCUUUCUUCUGUCUUUAAGCAAGAAGCGAGUUCAGCGGCAAUUCUUAUCCUAGCCUUAGUUUUCUGUCUUCGACCAUAAUAAUUCUUUGAAAAUGUUUCCCCAUAAGAAAAGACAAAGGGAAAUUCUUUUAUAUCUGGUACGCUAUGUUGUCUUUGUUUUCCUCCACUGAGGCCACACGUUAUGCAGAAUUUAAUUAAAGCAGGCUAACAAGGCUGCUAGGCUUUUUUAGACAUCUUUUGAUAGCUGAUGAAUGUGAUCAACUAAAUUAAAGUUGUUACAGUCAUAUAUAUGAUACAAUAAUUGCACAAUGGAACCUAUUGAGAAAUAUG
Populus euphratica (Euphrates poplar) is the source of this 562-nucleotide long non-coding RNA. RefSeq lists it as uncharacterized. Lineage: Eukaryota; Viridiplantae; Streptophyta; Magnoliopsida; Malpighiales; Salicaceae. The record is from RefSeq and is a predicted model, not a curated record. The transcript is spliced from 3 exons.